GUUAGAUUAGCUAGUUGGUGAGGUAAUGGCUUACCAAGGCUAUGAUCUAUAGCUGGUCUGAGAGGACGAUCAGCCACACUGGAACUGAGAUACGGUCCAGACUCCUACGGGAGGCAGCAGUGGGGAAUAUUGGACAAUGGGCGAAAGCCUGAUCCAGCUAUGCCGCGUGAGUGAAGAAGGCCUUCGGGUUGUAAAGCUCUUUCAAUAGGGAAGAUAAUGACGGUAC
Molecule: ribosomal RNA, 226 nt
Filed under: uncultured Ehrlichia sp.
Lineage: Bacteria; Pseudomonadati; Pseudomonadota; Alphaproteobacteria; Rickettsiales; Anaplasmataceae
Description: partial 16S ribosomal RNA
Rfam family: Bacterial small subunit ribosomal RNA
Source: RNAcentral